CGGCCGGAAGUCAGAAUAAAAUUCUCGGAACGUCUCGAAAGUUUUCGGUCAUCUAUACAGGUCUUCACAUGUUGUUAUCUACGUCUUUGAUAUGGUCCCUUGAUGGCCCUUGACGACGCAAUUAUAUUUGUUUUAAAACGACCACUGUACACUGUGUGUAUCUGGGUCAAUUAUAACGUGGUAUUGUCUGUUGUCUCGAUAACAUGUAAAC
This 211-nucleotide long non-coding RNA is filed under the name Mytilus galloprovincialis (Mediterranean mussel). The record is from RNAcentral. Lineage: Eukaryota; Metazoa; Mollusca; Bivalvia; Mytilida; Mytilidae.